GACGAACGCUGGCGGCGUGCCUAAUACAUGCCAGUUGAGCGCUGAAGGUUGGUACUUGUACCCACUGGAUGAGCAGCGAACGGGUGAGUAACGCGUGGGGAAUCUGCCUUUGAGCGGGGGACAACAUUUGGAAACGAAUGCUAAUACCGCAUAAAAACUUUAAACACAAGUUUUAAGUUUGAAAGAUGCAAUUGCAUCACUCAAAGAUGAUCCCGCGUUGUAUUAGCUAGUUGGUGAGGUAAAGGCUCACCAAGGCGAUGAUACAUAGCCGACCUGAGAGGGUGAGCGGGCAACACGGGAACGGGACAAGGGCCAAAACUCCUAGGGAGGGCGCCAGAGGGAAAUCUCGGCAAAUGGGGGAAGUCUUACCGGGGAACGCCGCGGUAGUGAAGGAGGGUUUCGGAUUGGAAAACUCUGUUGGUAGGGAAGAACGUUGGGGGGAGUGGAAUGCUCAUGUAGUGACGGUAACUACCCAGAAAGCCACGGCUAACUACGUG
This 497-nucleotide ribosomal RNA is filed under the name uncultured bacterium. Its description in RNAcentral is "partial 16S ribosomal RNA". It matches the Rfam family "Bacterial small subunit ribosomal RNA", at positions 28 to 507 of the family's 1533-position model. The record is from RNAcentral.